AGUGACAGCCAUAUCACCCUGCAACUCACAACUGGCAACCCACUGAAGCUCAGCAGGUGUGAGCCUGCUCAGUACCUGGAUGGGAGACCUCCUGGGAAAAACUAAGGUUGCUGCUGGAA
This is a ribosomal RNA of Lepisosteus oculatus (spotted gar), 119 nucleotides long. The record is from Ensembl. NCBI's taxonomy places the organism in Eukaryota, Metazoa, Chordata, Actinopteri, Semionotiformes, Lepisosteidae.